RNAcentral lists this non-coding RNA (26 nucleotides) under Homo sapiens (human). Lineage: Eukaryota; Metazoa; Chordata; Mammalia; Primates; Hominidae. The record is from RNAcentral.
UGCUGGAAGGACCACUCUUGAUGUGU